RNAcentral lists this ribosomal RNA (207 nucleotides) under uncultured bacterium. Its description in RNAcentral is "partial 16S ribosomal RNA". It matches the Rfam family "Bacterial small subunit ribosomal RNA", at positions 568 to 774 of the family's 1533-position model. The record is from RNAcentral.
CGUGUAGGCGGCUGACCAAGUCCGGUGUGAAAGCCCGGGGCUUACCCCCGGAAGUGCGCUGGAAACUGGUCGACUAGAGUAUGGGAGAGGGAAGUGGAAUUCCUGGUGUAGCGGUGAAAUGCGUAGAUAUCAGGAGGAACACCGGCGGCGAAGGCGGCUUCCUGGACCAAUACUGACGCUGAGACGCGAAAGCGUGGGGAGCAAACA